ACGUAGGUGGCAAGCGUUGUCCGGAUUUAUUGGGUUUAAAGGGUGCGUAGGUGGUCUAUUAAGUCAGUGGUGAAAUACGGCAGCUUAACUGUCGAGGUGCCAUUGAUACUGGUAGACUUGAGUACAGACGAGGUAGGCGGAAUUGACGGUGUAGCGGUGAAAUGCUUAGAUAUCGUCAAGAACACCGAUAGCGAAGGCAGCUUACUAGACUGUAACUGACACUGAGGCACGAAAGUGUGGGGAUCAAACAGGAUUAGAUACCCUGGUAGUCCACACUGUAAACGAUGAUUACUCGAUGUUGGCGAUACACAGCCAGCGUCUUAGCGAAAGCGAUAAGUAAUCCACCUGGGGAGUACGCCGGCAACGGUG
This 369-nucleotide ribosomal RNA is filed under the name uncultured bacterium. Its description in RNAcentral is "bacterial SSU rRNA". It matches the Rfam family "Bacterial small subunit ribosomal RNA", at positions 525 to 896 of the family's 1533-position model. The record is from RNAcentral.